Cannabis sativa is the source of this 396-nucleotide long non-coding RNA. RefSeq lists it as uncharacterized. The record is from RefSeq and is a predicted model, not a curated record. The transcript is spliced from 3 exons. NCBI's taxonomy places the organism in Eukaryota, Viridiplantae, Streptophyta, Magnoliopsida, Rosales, Cannabaceae.
CAAACCCCAUGAAUGGCGAGCAAAGCUCGCCCCAAACCCCGCUGCUCGCCCCGAUCCCUCUUCUCUAAGUUCUGGUCAACGACGCAACACUCCACCCCAAUCCCAGCUCUCCUCUCGCUCCUGUUCUCUUCUCCGUUCGGGCCAAGCUUGGCCCCUAACAUUGUCGUUUCUGCUCAGGCCAUGCUCGCACAAAAUAACCCUAUAUAUUCAGGGUUUGUCAAUUCGGGCCCCAACCGAAUGCAAGCAGAGGGCUGAAGAGGGGAAUCGCUGAAGAGGGGAAUCUCACAGAGGUACUAUCAUGACAAUAUCAAAGGAUAGGGUUAAACCAUCUCCACUGCCAGAUAGCUGGAAGCUGUCAGAGAUUUUCACAACUGGCGGUGUUGAUCUUAGUAGUUG